Molecule: long non-coding RNA, 785 nt
Filed under: Helianthus annuus (common sunflower)
Lineage: Eukaryota; Viridiplantae; Streptophyta; Magnoliopsida; Asterales; Asteraceae
Description: hypothetical non coding rna
Source: RNAcentral
GUGUGUGUGUUCAUGAACGAGCAGGGAAAGCUCCCAUGGAGCCAAAACCCUAAACUUUAUCAAAAUCUCCAAAUUGAAAGGCUAAACGAAGCCCAAAUUCACAACCGAACUUGAAUUAACGAUCACCUUCACAAGGGGAUCAUAAGGAAUCAUGUCAAGAUGGAUGGGAGCGUUGAAGGCUAACGGGCUACGAAGACUCAAUCAAAUAAGCGAACGCAAAUACAGGCGCGCAAGAAUGAAAUAAGGAAUGCAGGUAUACUAGUGUUGGAAGUUGAAGGUAGGCGCCGAAAUCCAAUGCGGGUGGUUUGAACGGAUGGAUGAAUGGACUAACAUAAGCGAAAGCAUGAUAUGGUUGUACAGAACGGUGGAUUCUCAUCAUGAAGUGUAAAAGGUUGAAGAUCGAGUCAAGAGAUGGAUUGUACAUGUGGGUGCAUGGUCACGAAAAUUAAUAGUAGUAUGUCCGAUUUUUAUAAAUUUUUGGAAAGCAUUAAUGUAUUUAAUGUAAAAAGUGAUUUAAUGUAAUUCUAAGUAUGUUAGAAUGAAUAUGAUGAAAGAAAAUUUUUAAGUUCGUAUUUCCGCUGCAACUUUUGGUUAAAGCGUUUUAGGGCGUUACACAUGACAUAGACCAACCGAAAACGUACGUAAAUAUGAGCAAGAAACGUAUUAUGUUUGACCCACAUACAUAAAAAUAUACAUGUAAAACUCGAGGAGGUUAAAAUGACAUUUUAUAAAAUUUUUAGAAAGUUUAAUAGGAUGCAAGUAAAAAUAAUAAAAGUUGAGGGUUA